AGUCACUGACAUUAGAUACCCGUGUAGUCCAGGGUGUAAACGCUGCAGACUUGGUGUUGGGAACCCUUCGGGGGUGCUCAGUGCCGGAGAGAAGUUGUUAAGUCUGCUACUUGGGGAGUACGUCCGCAAGGAUGAAACUUAAAGGAAUUGGCGGGGGAGCACAACAACGGGUGGAGCCUGCGGUUUAAUUGGACUCAACGCCGGACAACUCACCGGGGACGACAGCAAUAUGUAGGCCAGGCUGAAGACCUUGCCUGAAUCGCUG
Molecule: ribosomal RNA, 265 nt
Filed under: uncultured archaeon
Lineage: Archaea
Description: partial 16S ribosomal RNA
Rfam family: Archaeal small subunit ribosomal RNA
Source: RNAcentral